AAUACGGAGGAUCCGAGCGUUAUCCGGAUUUAUUGGGUUUAAAGGGUGCGCAGGCGGCCAUUUAAGUCAGCGGUUAAAUCGUGGGGCUCAACCCCAUUCUGCCGUUGAUACUGGGUGGCUUGAUUGCGGUCGAGGUUGGCGGAAUUCGUUGUGUAGCGGUGAAAUGCAUAGAUAUGACGAAGAACACCGAUUGCGUAGGCAGCUGACCAGACCGCAAAUGACGCUCAUGCACGAAAGUGCGGGGAUCGAACAGGAUUAGAUACCCUGGUAGUCCGCACAGUAAACGAUGAAUACUUGUUUUCGGCGAUAUAAUGUCGGAGGCAAAGCGAAAGCGAUAAGUAUUCCACCUGGGGAGUACGCCGGCAACGGUGAAACUUAAAGGAAUUGACGGGG
RNAcentral lists this ribosomal RNA (393 nucleotides) under uncultured bacterium. RNAcentral describes it as "partial 16S ribosomal RNA". It matches the Rfam family "Bacterial small subunit ribosomal RNA", at positions 522 to 918 of the family's 1533-position model. The record is from RNAcentral.